GACGAACGCUGGCGGCGUGCUUAACACAUGCAAGUCGAACGAUGAUCUCCGGGCUUGGUGUGCUGUUAGUGUCGAACGGGUGUGUAUUACAUGUGUACCCUGCGCUUGUCUCUGGGAUAUGCCUGGUAGACCGGGCGUAUUACUCUAGACUACUUCUGGCCGCAUGUUUUGAGCUGGUAGGGGGAUUACUGGUUUUGGAUGAGCUCACGGCCUAUCAGCUUGUUGGUGGAGUAAUGGCUCACCAAGGCGACGACGGGUAGCCGGCCUGAGAGGGUGACCGGCCAAACUGGGACUGAGACACGGGCCAGACUCCUACGGGAGGCAGCAGUGGGGAAUAUUGCACCAUGGGCGGAAGCCUGAUGCAGCGACGCCGCGGGAGGGAUGACGGGCUUCGGGUUGGAAACCUCUUUCAGCAGGGAAGGAGCCAAAAGUGACGGUACCUGCAGAAGAAGCGCCGGCUAACUACGUG
RNAcentral lists this ribosomal RNA (469 nucleotides) under uncultured bacterium. RNAcentral describes it as "partial 16S ribosomal RNA". It matches the Rfam family "Bacterial small subunit ribosomal RNA", at positions 28 to 507 of the family's 1533-position model. The record is from RNAcentral.